AAGACUUUAAGUUAAAUUAAUAAACUUACAACCUUCAAAGUUGUUUAUAUCUAAGACAAAUUGGUAAGUCUUA
RNAcentral lists this transfer RNA (73 nucleotides) under Roxasellana stellata. RNAcentral describes it as "tRNA-Trp". The record is from RNAcentral. Lineage: Eukaryota; Metazoa; Arthropoda; Insecta; Hemiptera; Cicadellidae.